Molecule: unclassified non-coding RNA, 240 nt
Filed under: soil metagenome
Description: partial contains 5.8S ribosomal RNA, internal transcribed spacer 2, and large subunit ribosomal RNA
Source: RNAcentral
AACGAGGCCGACCUGCGGCUGAGUUACCUGCGGAAGGAUCAUUACAGAGUUCAUGCCCUCACGGGUAGAUCUCCCACCCUUGAAUACUAUACCUUUGUUGCUUUGGCGGGCCGCUUUGGCUACUGGCUCUGGCUAGUAAGUGCCCGCCAAAGAACCCCAAAACUCUGAAUAUUAGUGUCGUCUGAGUACUAUAUAAUAGUUAAAACUUUUAACAACGGAUCUCAGAUCGGAAGAGCACAC